RNAcentral lists this ribosomal RNA (400 nucleotides) under uncultured Bradyrhizobiaceae bacterium. RNAcentral's name for it is "bacterial SSU rRNA". It matches the Rfam family "Bacterial small subunit ribosomal RNA", at positions 382 to 774 of the family's 1533-position model. Lineage: Bacteria; Pseudomonadati; Pseudomonadota; Alphaproteobacteria; Hyphomicrobiales; Nitrobacteraceae. The record is from RNAcentral.
CCUGAUCCAGCCAUACCGCGUGGGUGAAGAAGGCCUUCGGGUUGUAAAGCCCUGUUGUUGGGAAAGAAAUCCAGCUGGCUAAUACCCGGUUGGGAUGACGGUACCCAAAGAAUAAGCACCGGCUAACUUCGUGCCAGCAGCCGCGGUAAUACGAAGGGAGCUAGCGUUGCUCGGAAUCACUGGGCGUAAAGGGUGCGUAGGCGGGUUUCUAAGUCAGAGGUUAAAGCCUGGAGCUCAACUCCAGAACUGCCUUUGAUACUGGAAGUCUUGAGUAUGGCAGAGGUUAGUGGAACUGCGAGUGUAGAGGUGAAAUUCGUAGAUAUUCGCAAGAACACCAGUGGCGAAGGCGGCUCACUGGGCCAUUACUGACGCUGAGGCACGAAAGCGUGGGGAGCAAACA